CCUACGGGAGGCAGCAGUGGGGAAUAUUGGACAAUGGGCGAAAGCCUGAUCCAGCCAUGCCGCGUGUGUGAAGAAGGCCUUUUGGUUGUAAAGCACUUUAAGCGGGGAGGAGGGCACCGUGGUUAAUACCCACGAAUGUCGGACGUUACCCGCAGAAUAAGCACCGGCUAACUCUGUGCCAGCAGCCGCGGUAAUACAGAGGGUGCGAGCGUUAAUCGGAAUUACUGGGCGUAAAGCGCGCGUAGGCGGCUUGUUAAGUCGGAUGUGAAAUCCCUGGGCUCAACCUAGGCAUUGCAUUCGAUACUGGCAAGCUAGAGUAUGGGAGAGGAAGGUAGAAUUCCAGGUGUAGCGGUGAAAUGCGUAGAGAUCUGGAGGAAUACCGAUGGCGAAGGCAGCCUUCUGGCCUAAUACUGACGCUGAGGUGCGAAAGCAUGGGGAGCAAACAGGAUUAGAUACCCUGGUAGUCCAUGCCGUAAACGAUGUCAACUAGCCGUUGGGCCCCUUGAGGGCUUAGUGGCGCAGCUAACGCGANAAGUUGACCGCCUUGGGGAGUACGGGUUCGCAAGGCAAAACUUCGAAGGAUUGACGGNGNGAGAGNGACGACGGACGACGACGGAGGAGGAG
Molecule: ribosomal RNA, 624 nt
Filed under: uncultured bacterium
Lineage: Bacteria
Description: bacterial SSU rRNA
Rfam family: Bacterial small subunit ribosomal RNA
Source: RNAcentral